Molecule: ribosomal RNA, 410 nt
Filed under: uncultured bacterium
Lineage: Bacteria
Description: bacterial SSU rRNA
Rfam family: Bacterial small subunit ribosomal RNA
Source: RNAcentral
AAUGGGGGCAACCCUGAUCCAGCCAUGCCGCGUGAGUGAAGAAGGCCUUCGGGUUGUAAAGCUCUUUCGGCCGGGAAGAAAUCGCAUGGGUGAAUACCCUGUGUGGAUGACGGUACCGGAACAAGAAGCACCGGCUAACUACGUGCCAGCAGCCGCGGUAAUACGUAGGGCGCGAGCGUUAAUCGGAAUUACUGGGCGUAAAGCGUGCGCAGGCGGUUUGGUAAGACAGGCGUGAAAUCCCCGGGCUCAACCGGGGACCUGCAUUUGUGACCGCAAAGCUGGAGUGCGGCAGAGGGGGAUGGAAUUCCGCGUGUAGCAGUGAAAUGCGUAGAUAUGCGGAGGAACACCGAUGGCGAAGGCAAUCCCCUGGGCCUGCACUGACGCUCAUGCACGAAAGCGUGGGGAGCAAA